GACGAACGCUGGCGGUGUGCUUCACACAUGCAAGUCGAACGGGGUAGCAAUACCCAGUGGCGGACGGGUGAGUAACGCGUAGAAAUCUGCCUUUAGGUGGGGGAUAACAGUUCGAAAGAACUGCUAAUACCGCAUAUGUGUGUAAUUCGACAGUUUUACACAUAAAAGGAGCAAUUUGCCUGAAGAUGAGUCUGCGUCCGAUUAGCUAGUUGGUAGGGUAAAGGCCUACCAAGGCGACGAUCGGUAGGUGGUCUGAGAGGAUGAUCACCC
This 270-nucleotide ribosomal RNA is filed under the name uncultured bacterium. RNAcentral describes it as "partial 16S ribosomal RNA". It matches the Rfam family "Bacterial small subunit ribosomal RNA", at positions 28 to 309 of the family's 1533-position model. The record is from RNAcentral.